Molecule: long non-coding RNA, 4622 nt
Organism: Armigeres subalbatus
Lineage: Eukaryota; Metazoa; Arthropoda; Insecta; Diptera; Culicidae
Exons: 2
Source: RefSeq, a predicted model, not a curated record
AGCCUCCUUCCAAGAGGCUCGGAAGCCUCCUUCCAAGAGGCUCGGAAGCCUCCUUUCAAGAGGCUCGGAAGCCUCCUUCCAAAAGGCUUGGAAGCCUCUUUCCAAGAGGCUCAAAAGCAUCUUUUUAAGAGGCUCGGAAGCCUUCUUUCAAGAGGCUCGGAAACCUCCUUUCAAAAGGCUCAAAAAUCCCUUUCAAGAGACUCAAAAGCAUCUUUUCAAGAGGCUCAAAAGUGUCCUUUCAAGAGGCUCAGCAGCCUUCUUUGAAGAGGCUCAAAAUCCUCCUUUUCUACAGUCUCAAAAUCCUCCUUUCAAGAGGCUCAGAAGCCUUCUUUCAAGAGCCUAAAAAGCCUCCUUCCAAGAGGCUCCUAUCAAGAGGCUCGGAAGACUGCUUUCAAAAUCCUUUUAAGAGGCUGGGAAGCCUUCUUCCAAAAGGCUCGGAAGCCUUCUUUCAAAGGGCUCGGAAGCCUCUUUUCAAAAGGUUUGGAUGUCUCCUUUCAAGAUACUUCCAAGAGGCUCAAAAACCUCUUUCCAGGCUCAGAAGCCUCCUUUCAAUAGGCUCAAAAGCCUCCUUCCAAGAGGCUCGGAAGGCUCCUUUCAAGAGGGUAGUUUAAUGUAUGUGAAAAUGCAUCACGCGCGAGUUUACGAUUAGUUGAGUUGUUUUGGAUAUAGGUCAUCGAAGCAGGAUCGAGAUGUUGUCUUGUUCGUAGCACACGCAGUAAAGCCAGCUAGCUCCUGCAUGUUCAUUAUAUUUGUAGAAAUCUAUAAAAAAAACAUCUUAUGUACAUAUUGCGCUUUUUGCACUUUAUAAGAGUAUUGCGAGAUUUUUUUUCUCACAGUCAUCUUUUUCUCACACUCAAUACACUCAAAAAAGUUUGAUUUUCCGUGUAUAAUAUUUGUGUGUGAGUGCUCAAUCUGAAAACAAAUAGACGUCAAAUCAUGGCGGGAAUCGAUUUAGUGUACACGCUUACAUGUGACUAACGAGUAAUGGGUUAUAAUUGGGUAAAUUUCAGUAACAAAAAUCGAUCAACCCGAAAUGAGAGUGGGUGUGAGAAAAAGAAGCGAGCAAAUCACAAUCUACACAUAACUCUUCAAAUUGGUGAAAUCGGCAAUAUGAACAAUAGAAACCAAUUUGACACACGCUGAACACUACAACACUGACAAAAAUCCAAUCAUAUCCAUUAUGUGUGGCACACAUAAAUUUUGACUAUAGCAUUUCCCACUUAACGGCUAUGUGAAUUCGCAUAGCAUAUAUGUGGAAACACACAUAACCUUUAUGUGGAUUCUCCUAUAGCGGGUGGUUAUUAACGCACACAUAACAGUUAUUUGUUAAUUUCUUUAGAUUUUUGCCAAUAAAAAUGUGUGGAUUUUUAUUAGUGAAGAUUAGUUAUCGUUUGUAAAUAGGGAGAGUGGUAUACACCACAGGUAGGAGGCCACAUUUCAAGAGACUUAAAAGCAUGCUUUCUUGAGGCUCAAAAGUCUCCUUCUAAGAGGCUCGGAAGCGUCCUUUCAAGAGGCUCAGAACCCUCCUCCUUUCAAGAAGCUCGGAAGGCUCCUUUCGAGAGGCUCGGAAGCCCCCAUUCAAGAGACUCAGAAGUCUACUUUCAAGUGGUUCGGAAGCCUUCUUUCAAGAGGCUUGGAAGCGUCGUUUUAAGCUGCAAAGGAAGCCUCCUUUUUAGUGGCUCAAAAACCGCCUUCAAGAGGCUCGGUAUACCUCAGAAGCCUCUAAUGAAGAGGCGCGGAAGUCCACUUAAAAGGGAUUCAAAAGCUUAAAGAAAAUAUAUGGGCUAACUGUCAAAUUUUCCGUUUCCGUCGCCGUUCCGUUGUAUUGCGUUUGGGGCUUUAGAAUUGAAUAGAAUUUAGAAUUAGAAUUGGAUAUUCCAUUUCCGAUUCCACUUCUAUCGACAGCGAAAAAUCCACGGGGAUGACAAGCUACGCCAUCUUUGUCACAUCUUUUCUAAAUCACCAAUACGAGUGCACUGCGAAUGCAACAUAAACAAUUGCGAGGGUGAAAAUGAUAUAAAACGAACAAAGGCAUAAGACAGCACCUUGUGCAACUAGCAUUCUAAAUAAUUGAGCAAAUAAGUUGAACAUUCUUAAGUUUGAAGCAUGGAAUCGAGUGUAAAGUUAUUUUAGUUGAUAAUUCGUUAGCUUUUUCUCCAUUUUCUCAUGAUUGUAUCAUGUUGCAUUAUUAUGUGGUAUGGGCGUUUCGUAUCAUAUUCUCUUGUAAAAACGUAAACAUUCGAAAUUCGCGCACAUACUAUUGCAAAAUAAAUCAGUAUUGAGGUAAUUUGACACUGGGGGAUAAAUUUAUCCCUCAAAAAAGAACGAACAGGCAAACCUGUCAAAAUCCAUAGUAAAAAAAUUGGAUGUCGCUCCUCUGGAAAAAUCACACCAAAGAAAUACAAUCGUCGCUCGCGAAAUGUAAAAACAAAUAAAUAACAACUAUCUCUCAGUUCAGGUGUGACAAAUAUGCGUACAUUUUUCGCUUGGUCAGUGAAUUUCGCGGCAUAAGUGUCACAUUCGGGUUUUGAUUGAAAAAACGUGGGAAAAAUAGUUGUUUUUGGCAAUGUUUGAGUCCGGCUCAACGAAUAUGAAUAUUCUUCAUAAUUAUCCCAUGUACGUACACCCGCAUAAUUCUAAACCAUAGCAGAACAUCAAAGACUACGGUAUAUAGGGAAUCCAAGCAAACAUGGGACAAAUAUGCGUAUGACGGCAAUUUAUUGCGUUAAAGUCAAUAAAAAAGCGAAAUUUUGCGAUAAUAGGAUGAAUGCAUUUUGAAACUUCAAAUUGCGUUUUUCUCAUUUUUCUCGUUUGUAACAUGUGACAUUUAGGUGCCUGCCAGAGUAGACGCGUCUACGCGACGCCGCGCGAAAAUUGCACGCACAGGAAUAACAGUCAAUAAUAAGAAGCUGUCAAAUCGUAUGGACGCUUCGCUUCGCACUUCACGUCUACUCUGACCGCACCCUUAUGCAUCCGACGGCAGUAGCCUAUAAGUUGAAGGGCCAUUAUCCACUAGAACAAUAGAGGUAAUAAACUAUAGAGGAAGAUUGUCGCUGUCGUCACUGGCGAAACAUCUUUUAGGGCACUAAAUAUCAACGAAGGAAAAAUCAGUACGUUUUGACAGAUAGGUACCCAACAUGUUUCUGAACGACAACAAAGGGAACCGCAGCGACAAUCGUCCUCUAUAGUUUAUUACCUCUAUUACUAGAACUAUAGCGAAUAUGUUCUUCUUCUUCUUAUUGGCAUUACAUCCCACAUUGGGACUAAGCCGCCUCGCAGCUUUGUGUUCAUUAAGCACUUCCACAGUUAAUAACUGUGGGCAGCAGGGACUAUGUCCAAGGGCUUGACGAUCCCUCCCCAGACCAUCUGCGAGUUGUGGCGCCUGCCUAGGAUGUGGUGGGGUUUGACAGUGGGCCCUGUUAAACCUCUAUAAAAAGCUGCAUGUAUCCGCAAGUAGGCUCCGCCAAAGCGACCGUGUGCCGCUCAAAGCGCACAAGCCCAAGUCCUGGUGUUAGGUGCACGCAGCGUAAUUUUGUAUGAUUAAACUAAUGAAUAUCAUCACGCAGAAAAAACUACGUUAAGAACAAACAUAUUCUAGGUGAAUCCAAACAUAAAUUCAGUUUGUCCUGGCAUCAAAAAUAAAUAUGUUUGGAUCAAACAUAUUGUUGCAUUUGAAGCGAACGAAAACUUUUUUUGAAUCAAAUGUGCCUUUCAAGUUGUUUCAACCAGCUAAAUGUUUGAAGCAAACAUGGAUAUUAUUGUUUUGGUUCGACCACUCAUAAUAUUUUGAUAUCAAUUCUACCAAUUUUCAUAUUCUGGUAGCAUUUGACUACCAGAUUUCACAAUUCCAUAGGUUCAUAUUUCAUAAACUUACCUUUCUGUACCUGAAAAACAUCCUUAUCAUUUAUUUGGAAGCAAGAAAUCAUCUGCUUCUACUCUUGGUUCUACUCCUCUGCUGCUUCCGAUUGGAUCCGAUCCGAACUCGAGUGUUUGUUUACUUUUGCAAGAGCGAACGAGGGGCUGCCCACUGGUGAAUGUAUAAAACAAACAGGGAUUUAAUUUGGUUUUAAAAAUAAAUAUGUUUGAUUCAAACAUAUUACCAUUUUGGAAAUAAACAUGUAUAUUUUUGAAACAAAUGGAUGAAAUUUGUAUCCGUGAUUGUUGAAUCAAUAAACGGUCGAUUGUUGAAUUAAAAAAUGUAUAUUAUUGAAACUACAAUAUUCUUUGUUUGAAUCAACAAAAUAAUUGUCAUUUCAACAAUAUUUAUUGUUGAUUUUAACUUGCAUGAAUUUCUAUCAGCGUGUAUUUUUUGAAGUGUAGUUCCGUUUGCUGUUUGCUGUGAGAUGAACAAGAAAUGAAAAAGUGUUCUGUCAAGUAUUUUCGUAAUAGGAACUUCGCCACAUCACACUAUUUUAAAAACAACAGAUUUUAUGGACUUUACAGUUUUACAGAAGAUUUACGGAAAAAAGAUGACCGGAAGAAAGGAUCAAAACCGACAUAAACAUAACCAUGGAGGACGUGUAUUUCGGAAACAACAAUAAGUACGUUCAUUGGGCGAUGUUGUAUAUGGUUUUCAAAUAUUAAUAAAUUAUGUUAAAUAAAAUUGAUAUAUUUAUACUGAA